This 3181-nucleotide long non-coding RNA is filed under the name Homo sapiens (human). RNAcentral describes it as "HSALNT0277275". Lineage: Eukaryota; Metazoa; Chordata; Mammalia; Primates; Hominidae. The record is from RNAcentral.
CUCAAAGUGCUGGGAUUACAGGCGUGAGCCACUGCGCCCGGCCGGCUAUUAUUAUUCUUAAGUGUGGCAUCUCAGGAUCUGAACUCCCACCUCUGAGAUGCAUCAUCCCUUUGUCACAUGGAAGGAAAGCCUGUAGUGUUUGCUGCCUCCUGUUUCCUGCCCCUUUGUUCGCAAGUACACUCGUCUUUUUUUGUUUGUUUCAACAGUAGAAAGAAAUGCAUGUCCUUUUGGAACUUAAGACGAAAGAUAAUUGUGAUUGGAGUUUUCCCACACCAUAAGGUGUGCCUUGUCUCCUGCAGGGCGGGUCAUCUGUGGGCUGUCCUCCACUUCCUCUGGGUGCUGAGUGAGCAACAGUGAGCAACAGCAGCUCUGGCUCAGAAUUGCUUCAGCUGUUUGGGCUCUUUUUUGGUUUCCCGUGAAUUUUAGAAGUUUUUCCUAGUUCUGUGAAAAAUGACAUUAGUAGCUUGAUAAGAAUAGCGCUGAAUCUAUAGAUUACUUUGGGCAGUAUGACCAUUUUAAUGAUGUUGGUUCUUCUAAUCUAUGGGCAUGGAGUAUUUUUCCACUUGUUUGUAUCAUCGAUAAUUUAUUUCAACAGUGUUCUGAAGUUCUACUUGUAGAGAUCUUUCACCUCCGUGGUUAAAUUCCAAGCAUCUCCAAGCCUCUACCCCAAGUUAGCUCCAGGGAUUGGGAGCAACAAAGGGCUCUCCCUCAGCCUUGGAUCCCCAGUGGAAAGAAGAGUCAUAGAGGGAGGCUCUCUGCCUCUUUCACAUACUGGGGCUUCACUCACCUUAUCCGCCUGAUGCCAGCAUGGGGGCUUUUUGCCUGAAUUCUCCUUCCUGGGAUCUGAGGUGUCCUUCACAAUUCUUGUGGAUUUCCCAUUUUUCUUCUUAAAUUAAAGCUCACAGAGUUUAUCUUUAUGAAUUUCCAAGUGGCUAAGACAUGCUAAAAGCCUCUAAUUCACCAUCCUGGAAAAAGAGAUAUAAUAGUUUGAAAUACAAAGGUUAAUGCUGAAAAAUACACACACACACACAACUAGAAGAGUUGAAAAUGCCUUUAGGGGAGGAAAUGAAUGAGGUUCAGGGCAGGGGCAGGAACUGCUGUUUUUCAUGAUAAGUCUUAUAGAGCUAUUCGGCUUUUCAUAUAACAUUCAUGUAUAUCCUUAAAAGAAAUUAGAAUUACAUUUAAAGAACACCUGCAGGCAGAGGCCGGGAAUGUGCAGGUCAUACUUGGAUAAUGCUUCAUGUUGUAUUUGGUAGAAAUGGAAAAUCAAACAUCGUAUGUUCUCACUGAUAUAUGGGAGCUAAGCUAUGAGGACACAAAGGUAUAAGAAUGAUGUAAUGGACUUUGGGGACUUGGGCGGAAAAAUGGGAGGGGAGCGAGGGACAAAAGACUACAAAUAUGGUGCAGUGUAUAGUCUUCAGGUGAUGGGUGCGCCAAAAUCUCACAAAUCACCACCAAAGAACUUACUCAUGUAACCAAAUACCACUUGUACCCCAAUAACUUAUGGAAAAAUAAUUUUUUUUUGAGACAGAGUCUCACUCUGUCACCCAGGCUGGAAUGCAGUGGUGACAUCUUGGCUCACUGAAAGCUCUGCCUCCCGGGUUCACGCCAUCCUCCUGCCUCAGCCUCCCGAGUAGCUGGGACUACAGGUGCCCACCACCAUGACCAACUAAUUUUUUGUAUUUUUAGUAGAGAUGGGGUUUCACCAUGUUAGCCAGGAUGGUCUCAAUCUCCUGACCCUGUGAUCCGCCCGCCUUGGCCUCCCAAAGUGCUGGGAUUACAGGUGUGAGCCACCGCACCUGGCUGGAAAAAUUAAAAUUUUAAAAAAGAAGUAAAGGUAGAUGAAAGAAAGGGGGAGUAGUCAUGCAACUGAUCUCUUAUGGAAAUAAAGUAAGAACUAAAGUUUGGUUUGGAUAUAAGUGGAGGUGGACAAAGUUUGGCAGACCUUAAAGUAAAAUCACCCAUAGUGUUUAAUUGGAUUUUCAUGUGAAUCCAUUAUCAUUAUAGGGAGAUGAGGGUAACAAUUUAUCUCCAUUUUACAAAUGAGGAUCUGAAACUCACAAAGAUUAAGUGUCUUGGCAAGGGCACCCCACUUAUGAGAAGCAGAGCUGGGACGUCUAACGCCAAGUUCAUCACUCUUCUUAAUUUUGCAGUGCCUGUUACCCUAAAGAGUUGGGCCUGAGCUCAAGGAUGGAUUAUUGAUACAGAUAACAGGCAGCCCAAGAGGUGCAUUUAUUUAAACAGUUAUUGACUAACCAUCCACAUUCAUUCAGAUGAUUAUGUGGUGCUCAACUAGGUGAUCACUAUGCAUUGUUCACCUGUCCUGAAGCCAAUCCCAGAGAAACUGGUAAAAUAAGGUGACUCAGGCACAGACAGCUCUGACUCAGAGUAGAGCCUUCCUCAGACAUCUUGCUUUCUCUGCUUGAUUCUACUACUUAUAUUGAGUUUGCAGGUGUUCCCUACCUAGCUGCCUUUGAAAACACUCCAUCCUCACUAUGUCGUUUAGAAAUUAAAUCUGCCUGGGGUCUUGGCAGCAGUGACCAGUUUAUUCCAGUUUGCCUGGAACUGUCCUUGUUUUAAGCACUGAAAGUCUCACAACCUAGGAAACCCUUUAGUCUCGGGCCCAGUGGAAUGGCUGGUACUGUGGGGUAUGUGUUUCUUGGCCACAUUUUUGAAUAUGACCUAGUUUGGCCCAUACGCUUUAAGAUGAUUCAACAAAUUAUGAAUGGUUCUUUGAGAACUUUUCACAUUAAGUACCUUGGUCCUGGAUUCAGCUGAUUAGAGAAGCAGGAGACAUGCAUAUAUUCCUCUUGUUUUUCAUCCCCCCAGUGUUCCCAGCUGAACAAAAAUCUGGUUAUAUAAUCCAGGGCAAGUGAUUUAAACAGCCUCAUGUGCCUCAUUGGUACUAACAAUGCUUCACAGGGAUGAAAUAAGAAAUUCUCUUCUGCUCUUUCCAUGGUCUCCCUCUGAUGCCGAGCCGAAGCUGGACUGUACUGCUGCCAUCUCGGCUCACUGCAACCUCCCUGCCUGAUUCUCCUGCCUCAGCCUGCCGAGUGCCUGCGAUUGCAGGCGCGCGCCGCCACGCCUGACUGGUUUUCGUAUCUUUUUGGUGGAGAUGGAGUUUCACGCUGUGUUGGCCGGGCUGGUCUCCAGCUCCUAACCGCAAGUGAUCCGCCAGCCU